GACGAACGCUGGCGGCGUGCUUAACACAUGCAAGUCGAACGGAAAGGCCCUGCUUUUGUGGGGUGCUCGAGUGGCGAACGGGUGAGUAACACGUGAGUAACCUGCCCUUGACUUUGGGAUAACUUCAGGAAACUGGGGCUAAUACCGGAUAGGAGCUCCUGCUGCAUGGUGGGGGUUGGAAAGUUUCGGCGGUUGGGGAUGGACUCGCGGCUUAUCAGCUUGUUGGUGGGGUAGUGGCUUACCAAGGCUUUGACGGGUAGCCGGCCUGAGAGGGUGACCGGCUACAUUGGGACUGAGAUACGGCCCAGACGCUUACGGGAGGCAGCAGUGGGGAAUAUUUGAUAAGGGGCGGAAGCCUGAUGCAGCAACGCCGCGUGCGGGAUGACGGCCUUCGGGUUGUAAACCGCUUUCGCCUGUGACGAAGCGUGAGUGACGGAAAUGGGUAAAGAAGCACCGGCUAACUACGUG
RNAcentral lists this ribosomal RNA (468 nucleotides) under uncultured bacterium. RNAcentral describes it as "partial 16S ribosomal RNA". It matches the Rfam family "Bacterial small subunit ribosomal RNA", at positions 28 to 507 of the family's 1533-position model. The record is from RNAcentral.